Molecule: ribosomal RNA, 483 nt
Filed under: uncultured bacterium
Lineage: Bacteria
Description: partial 16S ribosomal RNA
Rfam family: Bacterial small subunit ribosomal RNA
Source: RNAcentral
GACGAACGCUGGCGGCGUGCUUAACACAUGCAAGUCGAACGAUGAAGCUGGAGCUUGCUCUAGCGGAUUAGUGGCGAACGGGUGAGUAACACGUGAGCAAUCUGCCCUUGACUCUGGGAUAACUGCGGGAAACUGUAGCUAAUACCGGAUACGAGACUCGGAGGCAUCUCUGGGUCUGGAAAGAAUUUCGGUCAAGGAUGAGCUCGCGGCCUAUCAGCUAGUUGGGGAGGUAAUGGCUCACCAAGGCGACGACGGGUAGCCGGCCUGAGAGGGUGACCGGCCACACUGGGACUGAGACACGGCCCAGACUCCUACGGGAGGCAGCAGUGGGGAAUAUUGCACAAUGGGCGAAAGCCUGAUGCAGCAACGCCGCGUGAGGGAUGAAGGCCUUCGGGUUGUAAACCUCUUUUAGCAGGGAAGAAGCGAAAGUGACGGUACCUGCAGAAAAAGCACCGGCUAACUACGUGCCAGCCGCCGCCGUAA